UACGUAGGUGGCGAGCGUUGUCCGGAAUUACUGGGUGUAAAGGGAGCGUAGGCGGGAAGCCAAGUUGGAUGUGAAAUACCCGGGCUCAACUCGGGGGCUGCAUCCAAAACUGGUUUUCUUGAGUGAAGUAGAGGUAGACGGAAUUCCUAGUGUAGCGGUGAAAUGCGUAGAUAUUAGGAGGAACACCAGUGGCGAAGGCGGCCUACUGGGCUUUAACUGACGCUGAUGCUCGAAAGCGUGGGGAGCAAACAGAAUUAGAUACCCUGGUAGUCCCUGAG
Molecule: ribosomal RNA, 278 nt
Filed under: uncultured prokaryote
Description: partial 16S ribosomal RNA
Rfam family: Bacterial small subunit ribosomal RNA
Source: RNAcentral